Molecule: non-coding RNA, 1232 nt
Organism: Pelobates cultripes (western spadefoot toad)
Lineage: Eukaryota; Metazoa; Chordata; Amphibia; Anura; Pelobatidae
Source: the annotation of a GenBank genome assembly
UUCAUUUAUUGUAAUUUCUAUUAUUUCAUCUUUCAGUUGAAUUGACGAAUAGCCGAAAUUCGGCCAAAAACUAAUGCCCAAUUCUAAUGGUUAUGGUUCCUGUCUAACCUCUGAGCCCUAGCAGUGGGUAGAAUCAUAAUACAUGCAGUGUAAGGUACAGCCAGAGGCAUUCUCACAAUAUGAACAAUUCACAAUGAUUACAGAGCAAGGAACUGUUCAUGUAGACAGUGUACCAUGCGGGGGCAGUGCAUGUAGUGUCAGACAGGGUAAACAGUGAGUGCAAUGUCAGACAAAGUAAAUGCAGUGGAUAGAGUGUCAGAGACAUUGCAUACAGUGAUUGCAGUAUUAAAUUAAUUGAUAAAGAGAACACAGUGUAAGAGUUAGUGUAUGCAGUGAGUGUAAUGGCAGACCAGUGGGUACAGUGUCAAAGGCAGUGCAUGCAUACAGGAGCAGUACAUACACUGUGUUAAGUGUCUAGGGACAGUGUCUGCAGUGAGUGUAGUGUAUAGAAGCAGUGUAUGCAGUGAGUGCAAUGUAUAUUGGCAGUGUAUGCAGUGAGCGCAGUGCACAGGGACAGUGCAUGCAGUUAGUGAAGUAUAUAGGGGUAGUGCACGCAAUGAGUGAAGUAUAUAGAGGCAGUGUAUACUGGCAGUGUAUGCAGUGUAUAUUGGCAGUGCAUGCAAUGAGUGAAAGUAUAUAGAGGCAGUGUAUACCGGCAGUGUAUAUUGGCAGUGCAUGCAAUGAGUGAAGUGUAUAGGGACACGGCAUAUAGUUAAUGCAGUGUAUAGAGGCAGGGCCUGCAGUGAAUCCAGUGUCAGAGGCAUUGUAUAUAGUGAGUGCAUUAUAUCGAGGCAGUGCCUGCAUUAAGUCCAGUGUCAGAGGCAGCGCAUACUGUGAUUGCAGUGUACAGAGGCAGUGCCUGCAGAGUAUCAGACGCAUAUAGUGAGUGCAGUGUAUAGAUGCAGUGACUGCAGUGUGUCCAGUAUCAGUGGCAGUGCAUACAGUAAAUGCAGUGUAUGGGCAGUGCAUGCAGUGAGUGCACUGUAAUGAGCAGUGUAUGCAGUGAGUGCAGUGUACAGGGGCAGUGCAUGCAGAGUAUCAGAGGCAGUGCAUAUAGUAAAUGCAGUGUAUGGGCAGUGCAUACAGUGAGUACACUGUAAUUAGCAGUGUAUGCAGUGAGUGCAGUUUACAGGGGCAGUGCAUACAGUGAGUGCACUGUAAUUAGCAGUGCA